UCAGUACGAGGUAAGUUUCGACUGCCGU
This 28-nucleotide small RNA is filed under the name Bombyx mori (domestic silkworm). Its description in RNAcentral is "ovarian small RNA-25766". The record is from RNAcentral. Lineage: Eukaryota; Metazoa; Arthropoda; Insecta; Lepidoptera; Bombycidae.